AACUACGGCCAUGCUACCCUGAACAAGCCCGAUCUUGUCUGAUCUCGGAAGCUAAGCAGGGUCAGGCCUGGUUAGAACUUGGAUGGGAGAUCACCUAGGAAGACCAAGUGCUGUAGGCA
This 119-nucleotide ribosomal RNA is filed under the name Pteropus alecto (black flying fox). Lineage: Eukaryota; Metazoa; Chordata; Mammalia; Chiroptera; Pteropodidae. The record is from RNAcentral.